RNAcentral lists this ribosomal RNA (384 nucleotides) under uncultured bacterium. RNAcentral describes it as "bacterial SSU rRNA". It matches the Rfam family "Bacterial small subunit ribosomal RNA", at positions 29 to 416 of the family's 1533-position model. The record is from RNAcentral.
AUUGAACGCUGGCGGCAUGCUUUACACAUGCAAGUCGAACGGUAACAGGCCUUCGGGCGCUGACGAGUGGCGAACGGGUGAGUAACGCAUCGGAACGUGCCCAGUCGUGGGGGAUAACGCAGCGAAAGCUGUGCUAAUACCGCAUACGAUCUGCGGAUGAAAGCGGGGGACCUUAGGGCCUCGCGCGAUUGGAGCGGCCGAUGUCAGAUUAGGUAGUUGGUGGGGUAAAGGCCUACCAAGGCGACGAUCCGUAGCGGGUCUGAGAGGAUGAUCCGCCACACUGGGACUGAGACACGGCCCAGACUCCUACGGGAGGCAGCAGUGGGGAAUUUUGGACAAUGGGGGCAACCCUGAUCCAGCCAUGCCGCGUGAGUGAAGAAGGCC